AGAGUUUGAUCAUGGCUCAGGACGAACGCUGGCGGCGUGCUUAACACAUGCAAGUCGAGCGGAAAGGCUCCUUCGGGGGUACUCGAGCGGCGAACGGGUGAGUAACACGUGAGUAAUCUGCCCUUCACUUGGGGAUAACCUCCGGAAACGGUGGCUAAUACCCGAUACGACCAACCUACGCAUGUGGUGUUGGUGGAAAGUUUUUCGGUGGGGGAUGUGCUCGCGGCCUAUCAGCUUGUUGGUGGGGUAAUGGCCUACCAAGCCUGCGAUCGGUAGCUGGUCUGAGAGGAUGAUCAGCCACACUGGGACUGAGACACGGCCCAGACUCCUACGGGAGGCAGCAGUGGGGAAUUUUGGACAAUGGGGGCAACCCUGAUCCAGCCAUGCCGCGUGCGGGAAGAAGGCCUUCGGGUUGUAAACCGCUUUUAGCUGGGAAGAAAAGGCGCGGGCUAAUACCCGGCGUUUUUGACGGUACCGGCGGAAUCAGCACCGGCUAACUACGUGCCAGCAGCGGCGGUAAUAC
RNAcentral lists this ribosomal RNA (523 nucleotides) under uncultured bacterium. Its description in RNAcentral is "bacterial SSU rRNA". It matches the Rfam family "Bacterial small subunit ribosomal RNA", at positions 8 to 526 of the family's 1533-position model. The record is from RNAcentral.